RNAcentral lists this ribosomal RNA (274 nucleotides) under uncultured bacterium. Its description in RNAcentral is "partial 16S ribosomal RNA". It matches the Rfam family "Bacterial small subunit ribosomal RNA", at positions 523 to 796 of the family's 1533-position model. The record is from RNAcentral.
AUACGUAGGGAGCGAGCGUUAAUGGGAAUUACUGGGCGCAAAGCGUGCGCAGGCGGUUUUGUAAGACAGAGGGGAAAUCCCCGGGCUCAACCUGGGAACUGCCUUUGUGACUGCAAGGCUAGAGUACGGCAGAGGGGGAUGGAAUUCCGCGUGUAGCAGUGAAAUGCGUAGAUAUGCGGAGGAACACCGAUGGCGAAGGCAAUCCCCUGGGCCUGUACUGACGCUCAUGCGCGAAAGCGUGGGGAGCAAACAGGAUUAGAAACCCUAGUAGUCC